Molecule: ribosomal RNA, 486 nt
Filed under: uncultured bacterium
Lineage: Bacteria
Description: bacterial SSU rRNA
Rfam family: Bacterial small subunit ribosomal RNA
Source: RNAcentral
GAUGAACGCUAGCGGGAGGCUUAACACAUGCAAGUCGAGGGGCAUCACGAGGUAGCAAUACUUUGGUGGCGACCGGCGCACGGGUGAGUAACGCGUAUGUAACCUACCCUGUACAGGGGGAUAGCCCGGAGAAAUUCGGAUUAAUACCCCAUAAAGAUAUUUUGAGGCAUCUUAGAAUAUUUAAAGUUUCGACGGUACGGGAUGGGCAUGCGUAACAUUAGCUAGUUGGUAAGGUAACGGCUUACCAAGGCGACGAUGUUUAGGGGUCCUGAGAGGGUGAUCCCCCACACUGGUACUGAGACACGGACCAGACUCCUACGGGAGGCAGCAGUGAGGAAUAUUGGUCAAUGGGCGUAAGCCUGAACCAGCCAUCCCGCGUGAAGGAAGAAGGCGCUAUGCGUUGUAAACUUCUUUUCCGGAGGAAUAAAAUUUCGUACGUGUACGGAACUGAAGGUACUCCGGGAAUAAGCAUCGGCUAACUCCGUG